GUGAGAGAGGGUAAGCAAAAGUUACAAAGCAAAGACUAUGUCUUGUACAUUUAGCAGGGUGGGAAAGGCAAGGAGCAGAGCAUUUGCAUAGGCUUGAUGUUUUGUAAUGGCGCUGGUUGUGGGAAGAAAGCAAUAUGCAAUAGGUUGGGGGCAGAUUAUGUAAGGUCUUGAAUGUGAAGCUAAGGCAUUAAUCUUGUAGGAAGAGACAUCGAACAUUACUGAAGGGAGUUAGAAAAAUCGCAAGAACUAGUAACAGAAUCGCAUCUAAUUCUGACUUGCCUAACAGGGCAUGAAGUGCACAAAGCUAAGGUUUAGUACGGUGCCUUUCAUAUCAUUUUGGUCAGAAGCCACAGUAAGAAUACAUCCUAUGCCGAAACCCAGUAUACAGUACUGAUGCACACAUACACACACAACUGAAACUUAAGAUAAACAAGACUUUGCCUUAUCAUGUGUGCAACAUUAUUUUCUACUCCACUCCACUCCACCUGCUUCUGCUUCUGCUUUACUUCACUUGAUUGUACUUCAUGCUUGUGUAUACUCAUUAUUUUUUUGUAUCUACAAAGGAAUGGCCAAAAGUUUGAAAAAUAGUGUUUUACAAAGAUAAAUUAGUGAGGAAAGUGAACUGCAGGGUACAAAAUAGGGGUAGGAUGGUACUUAUUAGGUGAUAGCAUUGUUCAUUUACUAAUAAACUCCUUAAUUCUUUCCUUCAACCAAAUUUGAUGAAGUAUGUAUUACGUACCAGGCAUGGAGAUACAAAGAUUCCCAAGAUUCAGUCAUGCCCUCGGAAGGCUUGUGGCUAGUGGUAGAGACAGGUAGCCAAUUCAGUGUGGCAAGUGCUUUAAUAGAGAUUUGAGAAAAAGUUCCCAGUACAGAUCUCGCAACCUCAGGAAAAUGUUGUUGUUAGGCGCCAUCCAGUCAGGUCCUACUUAUAGCAACGCUAUGUACAACUGUAUGAAACACUGCCUGGUCCUGCCUUGUCCUCACAAAUGUUGUGUUUGAGACCGUUGUUGCUGCCACAGUGUCAAUCCGCUUCAUCGAGUGUCUUCCUCUUUUUCACUGACCCUCUAUUUUACCAGGUUCAAGUAAUCAAAAGUUUCAUUUUACUUUGAUCCACAAUUAACACCAAUGGAAACAGUAGUCUGGAAAACAAAUGAUGCAUUGCCCUGGGCAAGCCUGCUGCAGGAGACCUCUUUAAAGUGUUAAAAAGCAAAGAUGUCACCUUGAAGACUAAGGUAGAGGGUCAGUGAAAAAGAGGAAGACUCUCAACAACAUGGAUUGACACAUUGGCUGCAACAACGGGCUUGAGCAUAACAAUGAUUAUGAGAAUGGCGAGGGACAGGGCAGUAUCUCAUGCUGUUGUACAUAGAGUCCUUAUGACUCAGUGGCACCUAACAACAACAACAACAACAACAACUCUACCAAGCAUGAUAUCCUUUUCCAGAAUCUGAUCCCUCCAAAGUAUGUGAGAUGAAAUUUUGCCAUCCCGGCAUCCUAGGAGCUUUCUGAUUGUAUUUCUUUCAAGACAGACUUGUUCAUUCUUCUGGAAGGCCAUGGUAUAUAGUCAGCGCUCUUCACCAACACCGUAAUUCAAAGGCAUCAAUUCUUCUUUGAUCUUCUUUAUUCCUUGUCCAGCUUUCACAGGCAGGUGCGUCUAUUGAAAAUACCGUGGCUUAGGUCAGACGCACUUCAGUUUUCAAAGUGACAUCUUUGCUUUUUAACAGUUUCAAGAAUACUUUUGCAGCAGAUUUACCCAAUGCAAUAUGUUCUUUGAUUUCCUAACUGCUGCUUCCAUGGUUGUUUAUUGAGGAUCCAAAUAAAAUGAAAUCCUUGACAACUUCAAUAUUUUCUCCAUUUGUGAUGAUAUUGCAUAUUGGUCCAGUUGUGAGGAGUUCCAUUUUUUUCAUGUUGAAGUGCAAUCCAUACCGAAGGCUGUGGUCUUUGAUCUUCAUCAGUAAGUGCUUCAAGUCCUCUUCACUUUCGGCAAGCAAGGCUGUGUCAUCUGUGUAAUGCAGGUUGUUCAGGAGUCUUCCUCCGAUGCUGAUACCAUAUUUUUCUUCAUAUAGUUCAGCUUCUCGGGUUAUAUAGAUUGAUUGAGUAUGAUGAAAGGCUACAACGCAGAUUCGCACAAUAAUGAAACACUGCCCUGUCCUGCAUCACCCUCAGAAUCCUUGCAUGCUUGAGCCCACGUUUGCAGGCACUGUAUCAGUCCAUCUCAUUGAGGAUCUUCCUCUCUUUGUUUCUUAUGUCUCAUUAAUUCUCAGGUCAAUUAAUCUGACGUUGACUGUGGGACAAAGUAGAAGUCAACCUCUGAGUAGAAUAUUUACAUUUGUAAGCCCCCUGCAAGUCUAUUUAUCAUUUUUUUUGCAUGUUAAAAUUUUUUUGAUGGUAUUGCUUUUUAGUAUUAAGGGUUCUAAGUACUGGUAAAAAAAUGAUGUUUGAAGUUUUGUAUAAUUCCAUUGUCACAUGUAUUUUAUUGCUACGGUAACUCUAGAGUGCAGACUUAUUUUUUAUUGUAGUAGCAUUGUGUGUAGAAAUGGAGGGAACGUGCUGAACGAAAUGAGAAUUCAGAAACGAAUAAUCCAUAGAAGUGAUAUCAAACUUUGCCAUGAAGCUGGGGUUUCAAUAAGUUAUGUAACAGAAAAAGUAAAAAAGGAAUCUAUAUCCACACUCCCUUUCCCUCGUGCAAUCAUUCUCACAGUGGCUGCAUUUCUUCCCAGCCAAAUCCUAUACUUCUGUGCUUUUUUGUACAGAUGGUGGAGAUGCUGAGCAAUCAGCAGGGAAGCCUAUAUUAUAUGGAAAAUGGGAAGAAUAAUUAAGAGAGAGUAUAAAAGAGUCAGAGAAGAGAGAAUGAAUCUGGGUUUGGAAGAGACUAUUUGGAGUUGGAAGUCAAGAUAAGAUGGAAGCUUCUGGUAGCAGCUUUGGUACAUGAGGAUUUCGAGAAGGCUGAAGGCUGUUCAGCUCUCAGGAUUCUGCUCUGGUUCAACCUUAGCACCUCCUCUUAUUUGUCAAGCACUGACUACAGGAGGCAGCGCUGCUGAGUGAGGAAGGCCCUGACUUGGAAUCAGACAAGGUGGGAAUUUCUAUGUCGUGUGCCACAGAGACUCCCAGCAAG
Loxodonta africana (African savanna elephant) is the source of this 3112-nucleotide long non-coding RNA. RefSeq lists it as uncharacterized. NCBI's taxonomy places the organism in Eukaryota, Metazoa, Chordata, Mammalia, Proboscidea, Elephantidae. The record is from RefSeq and is a predicted model, not a curated record. The transcript has 3 exons.